CACAGAUGAACACGUAACUGACCUUCCUUUUUUCCUUCCCUCUUCAUCAACAUGUGUGAAGGGUCCCCCAGGGCACCCCUGUGCCAGGCAGAGGGUGUUGCAGGGGACUGAGACUGACCUGGUCUCAGGACGCUCACAGCCUGAGGGAGGAGAGAGGAACACUCGCCCCUCUGAGCACUGCAGUGCUGCCCAGGGCCCAUGGGAGCGUCAAGGGGAGAUCUGAGCUGAACUGGGGUCAGGAGGGCUCCCCAGAGGACUGGCUUUGAGCUGAGGAGGGUGAGUCAACAGACAAAGCAGAGGCUCCGGAGAGGCUUGUAUUCACACAGGGCAGCGGCUCGUGCCAAGGCCCUCCUCAGGAGGCUCAGUAAGGAGGCUGGGUGCCUGGGGAGAGCCCAGGGGGGCAGUGGUCUUGCCCAGAGCCUGGGAGGCCUUAGGGCCUUAGUGUGCUUUUUUUUCUUUUUUUGAUACCGGGGAUUGAACUCAGGAGCACUCAGACACUGAGCCCCAUCCCCAGCCCUAUUCUGUAUUUUAUUUAGAGACAGGGGCUCACUGAAUUGCUUAGUGCCUCACUAUUGCUGAGGCUGGCUUUGAACUUGAAACUGUCCUGCCUCAGCCUCUGGAGCCCCUGGGAUCACAGGCGUGUGCCCCUGCUCCCAGCCUUAGCGUGCUUUUACCAGGGAAUGUCUCAGCUGCAGCACGGGGUGUGGGCUGAGCGCAGAGGGGCGCAGGAGACUCUGGGAGGCUGCCCUGUGCAGGAGGGAGGGAGACGGGCAGCUGGACAGCACAGUGGCCGCACAGACAGCACGUGGGUCUGCAGCGUGGUGGGCCUGGUGCAUGCCUGCUUGAGCAUGUGUGUGUGCAUAUCUGAGUGUGCAUGUGACCUCUGUAUGAGAAUCUGUGUGUCUGUGUAAUGCACGCUCCGGGGUGUGAAGUUGUGGGCAUAGUUGUGUAUUGUGUGUGCUUGCAAACGUGUAUGAGUGUGUGUCUGACAGGAUGGGGUGGGCGGGGGCUGGAGGCAGCCAUGUGUGGCCCUGCCCACACUAGCUGAUCCUCAGGCGGUGAGGGAAGCCUGGCUACCGCUGGGGUCCUUAGGUCACUGCCAUUGCACUGGGGUGGGGAGGCUCCCAGGGUCUGGGGAGGUCCGGGUUGGAGGAUCGAGCUGAUGAAUGCAGCUGGCUGGGCAGAUUGGAGGCUGGGCAUAUACCUGGAUUCCCUGGGCCUCUGUCCCUGGCUCUGUGAAAGGACCUUCAAGACCAGUGCCCAGCAAGGUGCAGGCAGCCAGACCCUUCACUAUCUGCUGGUCAAACCCACCUUACACCUGAGGCCCACAUUGGGCAAGGGCUCAAUGCAUGGUCGCCUGGUAAGUCA
Molecule: long non-coding RNA, 1368 nt
Filed under: Marmota monax (woodchuck)
Lineage: Eukaryota; Metazoa; Chordata; Mammalia; Rodentia; Sciuridae
Source: RNAcentral